CUCAUAACAGCAUUGCAGAGUAGAAAAAAACAGUAAACAGAGAAGUAGAAGGAGAUUUCAGAUAUGAUGACCUUUCAAAAAACUGUAAUGCAUAGAACAUCAGAGACUUUUCCUUUCAAUAUUUGGUUUCAGCAAUGUUGAGCCUUCCAAAGAUUUGUACAUAUUGUUACCAAUAACUGUUUAAUUCUUUUUACUGACUGAUAACAACACAUGGCCAUCCUGUUCUCCAGAGAACUUCCUCAAGCAAGCGGGAACCACCUUGGGUGUUCAAGGUUCUCAAGUGCAUCAACCCAGCAGAGAGUGAGAAAGUGAGUGUAUCUGGAGAGCGUUGCAUUAAGAGAGAUGGAACAUAAAACUGAAUAAGGGCUGAAGUGCAGUGGCAUGAUCUCUACUCACUGCAACCUCCGCCUCCCGGGUUCAAGCGAUUCUCCUGCCUCAGACUCCCGAGUAGCUGGAACUACAGGUGCCUGCCACCACGCCCGGCAAAUUUUUGUAUUUUUAGUACAGACAGGGUUUCAACAUGUUGGCCAGGAUGGUCUCUAUCUCCUGACCUCACGAUCCGCCCAUCUCGGCCUCCCAAAGUACUGGGAUUACAGGCAUGAGCCACUAUGCCGGGCCUAUUAUUGCUAUUUUAAAAUUCAUUCAAAUAAUAAAUAAAAGGUUAAAGUAAAAAGUGCCUCACUUUUAACUUAUAACACAGUAAAUAAUAUAGGUAGCUACAACCAACAUUGGUGAAUGAGGACCCACUUUGGGGUCCUCAAUAAUCUUUAAGAGUGUAAAGAUUUCUUAAGACCAAAAAGCUUGAGAACCACCUAUCUAGAGGAUAUUUAUCAGGGUCCUAUUCCUACCACAGACAAGCUGAAACAAAGAGAAUCUUGAGCAAGG
This 885-nucleotide long non-coding RNA is filed under the name Homo sapiens (human). RNAcentral's name for it is "HSALNT0139836". Lineage: Eukaryota; Metazoa; Chordata; Mammalia; Primates; Hominidae. The record is from RNAcentral.